UUUAAGUGGAUUUAUGGAUUUUCGUGUUUAACGUUUGACCGCUCAUCUUAAUUAAUUUUUUUAUGAUUAGUAUUUUUGUUGAUAUUAAAUGAUAAAACAUAAAUAUUAUUUUAUGCGUAACAUAUUUUUAAAAGAAUUUUAUAAGUUCUUCGAAUAAGUUAAACGGUCAAAUUUAGACACGAAAACCUACAACGACACUGUGA
Molecule: non-coding RNA, 203 nt
Organism: Oryza nivara
Lineage: Eukaryota; Viridiplantae; Streptophyta; Magnoliopsida; Poales; Poaceae
Source: Rfam